AUGUGAGGUAGAGGCGCGAUAUUUAUUAGUUUUUCAUAGAGUUCGAGCAAACGAUGAAAUGAAAAAGAAGGAGAUAUCGCCGAAGUGUAAAGUAAGCUCAAUGCUUUAUGCUGGGUCUGCAGUGAAUAACUGCAGGACUGUCUCAAGUAUAGUUUCCCAACGUACUUGAGUUGUGCUAUCUCUAAA
Molecule: non-coding RNA, 186 nt
Filed under: Ureibacillus manganicus
Lineage: Bacteria; Bacillati; Bacillota; Bacilli; Caryophanales; Caryophanaceae
Also listed under: 1 other name
Description: Lysinibacillus manganicus Lysine sequence
Rfam family: Lysine riboswitch aptamer
About the family: Riboswitches are metabolite binding domains within certain messenger RNAs that serve as precision sensors for their corresponding targets. Allosteric rearrangement of mRNA structure is mediated by ligand binding, and this results in modulation of gene expression.
Source: RNAcentral